Molecule: unclassified non-coding RNA, 474 nt
Filed under: Oedochloa grandifolia
Lineage: Eukaryota; Viridiplantae; Streptophyta; Magnoliopsida; Poales; Poaceae
Description: partial external transcribed spacer
Source: RNAcentral
UUGGCUACGCGAGCGCAUGAGUUGUGCUGGACCUGUGACUGNUGAGAGGACCCCCGCCGUUGUGCGGCCGACUCUCGGCGCCUGCGUCUCUUCAAUCUUUGGCUACCUAGCCCUACUCGUCUGACGAGUGCUUGCAUGAUGCUACCAGCUUGAUGGAAGUUGGGUUCGAAACAUGUUGCCUUCGUCGUGCCCGUCUGUUGGGCGUGGCACGACGACUCAAUGGUGUCCACGGCGUUGCCUCAUGUAGCUAGCCAUCCGAGCCGGCUUCAUCAAGGCCACCUCGUGUAUGCUCUUGGUCCCGGAUGUGGCUGAUGAUAAAGGCCGAAGGCGCUCUGGCGUCGCGUGCCUAGCAAACAUGGUCCCAUUGGAAACAACGACAGCUGGCCCGGCGAACGCCUCGUGCAGAAGCUGGUGCUGGUUCGUCGAUGAGGACGUGCUACCUGGUUGAUCCUGCCAGUAGUCAUAUGCUUGUCU